RNAcentral lists this ribosomal RNA (301 nucleotides) under uncultured bacterium. RNAcentral's name for it is "partial 16S ribosomal RNA". It matches the Rfam family "Bacterial small subunit ribosomal RNA", at positions 509 to 807 of the family's 1533-position model. The record is from RNAcentral.
CAGCAGCCACGGUAAUACGUAGGUGGCAAGCGUUGUCCGGAAUUAUUGGGCGUAAAGGGCUCGCAGGCGGUUUCUUAAGUCUGAUGUGAAAGCCCCCGGCUCAACCGGGGAGGGUUAUUGGAAACUGGGAAACUUGAGUGCAGAAGAGGAGAGUGGAAUUCCACGUGUAGCGGUGAAAUGCGUAGAGAUGUGGAGGAACACCAGUGGCGAAGGCGACUCUCUGGUCUGUAACUGACGCUGAGGAGCGAAAGCGUGGGGAGCGAACAGGAUUAGAUACCCCCGUAGUCCCUGUCUCUUAUAC